RNAcentral lists this ribosomal RNA (201 nucleotides) under uncultured bacterium. Its description in RNAcentral is "partial 16S ribosomal RNA". It matches the Rfam family "Bacterial small subunit ribosomal RNA", at positions 524 to 721 of the family's 1533-position model. The record is from RNAcentral.
UACGAAGGGGGCUAGCGUUGUUCGGAAUUACUGGGCGUAAAGCGCACGUAGGCGGAUCGAUCAGUCAGGGGUGAAAUCCCAGAGCUCAACUCUGGAACUGCCUUUGAUACUGUCGAUCUAGAGUAUGGAAGAGGUGAGUGGAAUUCGAAGUGUAGAGGUGUAAAGUUCGAUAGAUAUUCGGAGGAACACCAGUGGCGAAGG